GACGAACGCUGGCGGCGCGCUUAACACAUGCAAGUCGAACGGAAAGGCCUGCUUUCCCUUGUGGAUUGCGGGUACUCGAGUGGCGAACGGGUGAGUAACACGUGAGUGAUCUGCCCCCAACUUGGGUAUAAGCCUGGGAAACUGGGUCUAAUUCCCGAUAGGACUGCAGGGUGGUGCCUGUGGUGGAAAACGAUUUUCUAGUGGUUGGGGAUGAGCUCGCGGCCUAUCAGCUUGUUGGUGGGGUAAUGGCCUACCAAGGCGGCGACGGGUAGCCGGCCUGAGAGGGUGGACGGCCACAUUGGGACUGAGAUACGGCCCAGACGCCUACGGGAGGCAGCAGUGGGGAAGAUUGCACAAUGGGCGGAAGCCUGAUGCAGCGACGCCGCGUGGGGGAUGACGGCAUUCGGGUUGUAAACUCCUUUCGACCGCGAGGAAGCCACCUGGUUGGAAGGGUGGUGACGGUAGUGGUAGAAGAAGCACCGGCUAACUACGUG
RNAcentral lists this ribosomal RNA (494 nucleotides) under uncultured bacterium. RNAcentral's name for it is "partial 16S ribosomal RNA". It matches the Rfam family "Bacterial small subunit ribosomal RNA", at positions 28 to 507 of the family's 1533-position model. The record is from RNAcentral.